This 73-nucleotide transfer RNA is filed under the name Ovis aries (sheep). It matches the Rfam family "tRNA". From Rfam's summary of the family: Transfer RNA (tRNA) molecules are approximately 80 nucleotides in length. Their secondary structure includes four short double-helical elements and three loops (D, anti-codon, and T loops). The record is from Rfam by way of RNAcentral. Lineage: Eukaryota; Metazoa; Chordata; Mammalia; Artiodactyla; Bovidae.
UCCCUGGUAGUCCAGCGGUAAGGGCUUUGUGCUUCCACCACAGUAGGCACAGGUUUGAUCCCUGACUGGGGAA